UUUCCUACGGGAGGCAGCAGUGAGGAAUAUUGGUCAAUGGGCGGAAGCCUGAACCAGCCAAGUCGCGUGAGGGAAUAAGGCCCUACGGGUCGUAAACCUCUUUUGCCGGGGAGCAAGGGCGGGGACGUGUCCCGGCCCGGAGAGUACCCGGAGAAAAAGCAUCGGCUAACUCCGUGCCAGCAGCCGCGGUAAUACGGAGGAUGCGAGCGUUAUCCGGAUUUAUUGGGUUUAAAGGGUGCGUAGGCGGAUUUUUAAGUCAGCGGUAAAAUGUCCGGGCUCAACCCGGGCCGGCCGUUGAAACUGGG
Molecule: ribosomal RNA, 305 nt
Filed under: uncultured bacterium
Lineage: Bacteria
Description: bacterial SSU rRNA
Rfam family: Bacterial small subunit ribosomal RNA
Source: RNAcentral